Molecule: long non-coding RNA, 239 nt
Filed under: Ictidomys tridecemlineatus (thirteen-lined ground squirrel)
Lineage: Eukaryota; Metazoa; Chordata; Mammalia; Rodentia; Sciuridae
Description: lncRNA (ENSSTOG00000030752.1)
Source: RNAcentral
GCUCUGCUCCCCCCGCCCCGGCCACAGCCCACAGACCCUGGCACAGCCGUCCCUCCCGUGACGCCGUCUCCUCGCCCCGCUGCCUGCUGUAAACUGUAAACUCAGCGGGCAUCGGCCCCCUCCCCGCUCCCCAGCUAAGAAUGCCCGUUCACUUCAGCUGCCUACCUCGACACACGGGAUGCACCAGCUAGUCGGGGUCAGCUUCAGCUCAAACUGCCAGGAGAGUUUCUUAAAGCAAA